This 490-nucleotide ribosomal RNA is filed under the name uncultured bacterium. RNAcentral's name for it is "bacterial SSU rRNA". It matches the Rfam family "Bacterial small subunit ribosomal RNA", at positions 45 to 524 of the family's 1533-position model. The record is from RNAcentral.
GGCAGCUUACCAUGCAAGUCGAACGGUACAGGGAUUAGCUUGCUAAUUUGCUGACGAGUGGCGGACGGGUGAGUAAUGCUUGGGAAUCUGGCUUAUGGAGGGGGAUAACUACGGGAAACUGUAGCUAAUACCGCGUAAUAUCGGAAGAUUAAAGGGUGGGACUUUCGGGCCACCUGCCAUAAGAUGAGCCCAAGUGGGAUUAGGUAGUUGGUUAGGUAAAGGCUGACCAAGCCGACGAUCUCUAGCUGGUCUGAGAGGAUGACCAGCCACACUGGAACUGAGACACGGUCCAGACUCCUACGGGAGGCAGCAGUGGGGAAUAUUGCACAAUGGGGGGAACCCUGAUGCAGCCAUGCCGCGUGAAUGAAGAAGGCCUUCGGGUUGUAAAGUUCUUUCGGUGACGAGGAAGGUUGAUAUGUUAAUAGCGUAUCAAAUUGACGUUAAUCACAGAAGAAGCACCGGCUAACUCCGUGCCAGCAGCCGCGGUAAU